Molecule: ribosomal RNA, 375 nt
Filed under: uncultured prokaryote
Description: partial 16S ribosomal RNA
Source: RNAcentral
CCCUACGGGGUGCCCAACUCCAUGACGUUGUUCCUCAGCUGUAAUGAGUCCUUCAGCUUGAAGGUUAAUCAAGUGAUGACGGACUGAAAUCCCGUUGCUCCCCACUGCUUCCGAGAGCUCAUUAAUUGUGGCCUGGCGUUUAGUAAGUAAAGUGUUCAAAAUUUUCUCGCGCGUGCUUUUCAUGGGUUCCUUCUUAGAAGUAAUCGCAGUAGUAUAACAUAUGAGGACAGGUGAAUCUGUACACGCUCAUAGUCGACGGCUAUUUUACUAUAGAAAAACUACAUUAUGCUAUAAUUAAUCAAGAAAGCAAUCAAACUUAUGCAGGAGCAGAAACAUGACCAAACUUAUAGAUAUUGAAGGAAUUGGCGGGGGGGC